AUGGUUCUGAGCCCCUGCAGACAGGGCGUCGUCCCCAGGACCCAGAAUCUUUCCUUUCACCUGUGCCCUGAGCCUUCAGCUUCAACCCCUUGCCUCAUGACAGCCAGCUGGUUCUGCCUUGGUCCUGCGACCCCCGAGACAGAAGAACCCACCCCCCGGGCUCCAGUGCCUGGCGCCUUCAUGGAUGGUCAAGGUAUCUCCCUGCCACCACUGCUCUCUACGACCUGUCUCUGCCUCCCAGGGGUCGCUUUAUGGUCACCAUGGCCAAGCCCUGUCAUCCACCGCUUCCUAGGGAGCCAGGAACACUCUGGGGUGUGCGUCACCUGCAUAGCUGUGUCACUUAGCCCCUAAAUGACAGUUUUCAACUGCUGUACUGCUUUCUACACAGCAGUAGAAAACCAUUUCCAAACUGCUGUUGUUUCUGUUUGUUCCUGGUUUCUGUCUUUUAAUCCUUUUACCUUUCUGUGGGUUUAUCAGACAUCUGGGACCACACCAGUCAGUCCUUAAAAACCCUUGGAUCCAUCAGGUGGUGGUUCUGUGGGUGCUCUGCUGCUGAUUUGUGCGUGUAGUUGGAUGUGGCUGCAUGCUACAUUUUGAGAACAUUGUGUAACACCACACACACAGACACACACACUUCCCGAAACAGCCUUGGAAGCAGCCACUAAGAACAUGAAGCUACUUACACAAGUUCAAAGUCUCCUGGGAAGGGCUCCUCCAUUCAAGCCAACCUACGCAUCUGGUCACCAGGCACACACACCCACAUUUCAGAUCCUGGGUCACAUUUGCCCCAUGGAUUCUUCUCUAACAAGCGAUACCCCCAGGGGCAGCACCUCACACGUAUCAAUGUUUUCUCCAUCUGAUGUCUCGGGAGAGUCUCACCUCAGUUUCUACUAGUGGACGUUACUCUCUUCAUCUUACACGUGAGAAAAUCUGAGUUAUUCAAAUGACGCGUGAUGUAGGUGGCAGACUAAGCCUUACACACAGAUCCUUUUUGGAGCCACAAUCUCCUCGUCACAAAUAACCCCUUAAGAAAUCACCACUAAAUAGCUAACUAGCUUUAGGGGAGGGUUAUUGGUUAAAAAAAAAAAAUAGUAUAAGAACAAAUUCACACUAUGCAGAAAGGUAUGAAAAAGACUGAAAAAAAAUAAAAAAAUAAAAGCCCAAUUCCCCAAAGCUAACCAUUCUAUCAUGUGGAUAUGUAUCCUUCCAGGCUUUUUUCUAUAAGAAGAUGUUGUUUUAAGAUCCAAUACUGACCAUUUUACUCAAAUCGUCUCACACCUGCUCCCUGAGCAUAUACGAACAGGAAGGAGGGACUCAACACUGAAAAAAGUGUGAUUGUUUUGGAAAUGAGAAAACUCAACGAUUAAGUGUCCUUUAAAAAGUAGUUUUACUGAUGUUUAGUCUAUAACAUUAGAGAUUUCUCUUCUCUCUUUUAAAUGUUUAAACAGAGGGCAGAGUCUGACGAAUGAGGCGAGAAAAGUUCGGAGGCAAAAUAUAAAAUGUCUAGACUAAGUACCCAAAAUGUGCAUUAGAGAUGAUGGAGCGAUUCGAUCAGGAGAGAGGGGUCCCUCAGUGUAACCCCGGGAGGGGGGGUACCUGCUAAAUGGCCCAAAAAGGAAAAUGAGAAGCGGCAGGAAUUGGGGUGGGGGACCAGCAGAGAGAACAGACACUAACUAGAGGGUGUUUCCAGGAAUGGGGAGAUUCCCCCCUUUCAUGAAAAGAAGCAGAAAACCAUGUCCAAUGGAGAGCAGACUUGUGGAUGCCAGGGGUGGGGUCAGUAGAUGCAAACUAUUAUUUUUAGAAUGGAUAAGCAAUGAGGUCCUGCUGUACAGCACAGGGGACUAUAUCCAUUCUCUUGGGAUAGACCAUGAUGGACGAUAACAUGUGGCAAAGCGUGUGUGUGUGUGUGUGUGUGUGUACACACACACACAUGUGAUUGGUCACUUUGCUGUACAGCAGAAAUUGGCACAACACUGUAAAUCAACUAUACCUUAAUUAAAAAAUUUUUUUUGUCUUUUUUUUUUCAGGACCACACCUGAGGCACAUGGAAGUUCCCAGGCUAGGGGUCAAAUCCGAGCUGCAGCUGCCGGCCUACACCACAGCUGCAGCAACGUGGGAUCCAAGCCACAUCUGUGACCUACACCACAGUUUACGGUGAUGCUGGAUCCUUAACCCACUGAGCG
This 2183-nucleotide long non-coding RNA is filed under the name Sus scrofa (pig). RNAcentral describes it as "lncRNA (ENSSSCG00005035787.1)". Lineage: Eukaryota; Metazoa; Chordata; Mammalia; Artiodactyla; Suidae. The record is from RNAcentral.